Small nucleolar RNA from Callithrix jacchus (white-tufted-ear marmoset), 70 nucleotides. Lineage: Eukaryota; Metazoa; Chordata; Mammalia; Primates; Cebidae. The record is from Ensembl.
UGGGAAGUGAUGACACCUAUGACUGUUGAUGUGGCAGUGAUUUCUCUGAUAUUCGUACUGGCUGAUCCUG